RNAcentral lists this ribosomal RNA (253 nucleotides) under uncultured bacterium. RNAcentral describes it as "partial 16S ribosomal RNA". It matches the Rfam family "Bacterial small subunit ribosomal RNA", at positions 524 to 776 of the family's 1533-position model. The record is from RNAcentral.
UACAGAGGGUGCGAGCGUUACUCGGAAUUACUGGGCGUAAAGCGUGCGUAGAUGGUUAUGUAAGUCGGAUGUGAAAGCCCAGGGCUCAACCUUGGAAUUGCAUUCGAGACUGCAUAGCUAGGAUGCGGAAGAGGGAAGCGGAAUUUCCGGUGUAGCGGUGAAAUGCGUAGAUAUCGGAAGGAACACCAGUGGCGAAAGCGGCUUCCUGGUCCAGCAUCGACGUUCAGGCACGAAAGCGUGGGGAGCAAACAGG